GUAGUAUUCCCUCCGUCCCAAAAUUGUUAUCUUACAUUUGUUUAGAUACGGAUGUAUCUAACACUAAAAUGUAACUAGAUACAUCCGUAUUUAGACAAAUUUAAGACAAGAAUUUUGAGAUGGAGGGAGUACAAA
Triticum aestivum (bread wheat) is the source of this 135-nucleotide non-coding RNA. Lineage: Eukaryota; Viridiplantae; Streptophyta; Magnoliopsida; Poales; Poaceae. The record is from Rfam.